Molecule: non-coding RNA, 28 nt
Filed under: Rattus norvegicus (Norway rat)
Lineage: Eukaryota; Metazoa; Chordata; Mammalia; Rodentia; Muridae
Source: RNAcentral
UGGCCUCUCUUUAGUUACAUUUUGAAAG